RNAcentral lists this ribosomal RNA (253 nucleotides) under uncultured bacterium. RNAcentral's name for it is "partial 16S ribosomal RNA". It matches the Rfam family "Bacterial small subunit ribosomal RNA", at positions 524 to 776 of the family's 1533-position model. The record is from RNAcentral.
UACGGAGGUGGCAAGCGUUGUUCGGAAUUACUGGGCGUAAAGCGCGUGUAGGCUGUUCUGCAAGUCGGGUGUGAAAGCCCCGGGCUCAACCUGGGAAGUGCACUCGAAACUGCAGAACUUGAGUCCUGGAGAGGAAGGCGGAAUUCUCGGUGUAGAGGUGAAAUUCGUAGAUAUCGAGAGGAACACCGGUGGCGAAGGCGGCCUUCUGGACAGUGACUGACGCUGAGACGCGAAAGCGUGGGGAGCAAACAGG